This 548-nucleotide ribosomal RNA is filed under the name uncultured Nitrososphaerota archaeon. RNAcentral describes it as "uncultured thaumarchaeote partial 16S ribosomal RNA". The record is from RNAcentral. Lineage: Archaea; Thermoproteati; Nitrososphaerota.
UACAACGCACUACCUGUUCAUAGUAGUCGUUGCUGUCAACAGCACACUGCUCACCAUCAACGCAGGGGACUACAUCUUCUACACAGACUGGGCUUGGACGUCCUUCGUUGUUUUCUCGUUGUCGCCGCCGCCAUUGCUCUCUCUCUGCUCAUUUUCCUCCUCGUUAUUCACUGCUGUUCCUGUCCCCGCACUCUUUACUGCACCUUCCAUAGUCCACUACCCUUUCGCUCCAAUUGCCCACUGUGUUUUCCUUGGUUACUCAUCUCCCUCGCCUGUGAGCGACACGACGCAACAAGAGCGCUGCCAUACUGAUUGGAGGUACGCUGGUUGGCCUAUCCUUCCCGCUGUUCAACAUGGUCAACCUGUUGCUUGUAAGGGACCCGCUCGAGGUGGCCUUAAAGUCUCCGAGACCGACUCUGCCCGCGUACAUGACGCCUAUAGAGCCUCAGGUAGGGAAGUUCUACAACUCGCCUGUCGCCCUGGGUUCAGGUGCCGGUGCAGUGCUAACGGUACCCAUCGCUGCGUUGGGUGCAAAACUAAACACGUGG